AUACGAUGAUGGUUGCAUAGUUCAGCAGAUUGGCUGUGAAGAGAUGAACCAAUGUCUGAUGUAUCU
Molecule: small nucleolar RNA, 66 nt
Organism: Sorex araneus (European shrew)
Lineage: Eukaryota; Metazoa; Chordata; Mammalia; Eulipotyphla; Soricidae
Source: Ensembl